Molecule: ribosomal RNA, 253 nt
Filed under: uncultured bacterium
Lineage: Bacteria
Description: partial 16S ribosomal RNA
Rfam family: Bacterial small subunit ribosomal RNA
Source: RNAcentral
UACGGAGGGUGCAAGCAUUGAUCGGAAUUACUGGGCGUAAAGGGCGCGUAGGCGGUCUGAAAAGUCAGAUGUGAAAUUCCGGGGCUCAACCCCGGAGCUGCAUUUGAAACUUUCAGACUUGAGGUUGGUAAGGGAAAACGGAAUUCCACGUGUAGCGGUGAAAUGCGUAGAUAUGUGGAAGAACACCGGUGGUGAAGACGGUUUUCUGUGCCAAACCUGACGCUGAGGCGCGAAAGCUAGGGGAGCAAACAGG